Molecule: ribosomal RNA, 440 nt
Filed under: uncultured Pseudomonas sp.
Lineage: Bacteria; Pseudomonadati; Pseudomonadota; Gammaproteobacteria; Pseudomonadales; Pseudomonadaceae
Description: bacterial SSU rRNA
Rfam family: Bacterial small subunit ribosomal RNA
Source: RNAcentral
GGAAUAUUGGACAAUGGGCGAAAGCCUGAUCCAGCCAUGCCGCGUGUGUGAAGAAGGUCUUCGGAUUGUAAAGCACUUUAAGUUGGGAGGAAGGGCAGUUACCUAAUACGUGACUGUCUUGACGUUACCGACAGAAUAAGCACCGGCUAACUCUGUGCCAGCAGCCGCGGUAAUACAGAGGGUGCAAGCGUUAAUCGGAAUUACUGGGCGUAAAGCGCGCGUAGGUGGUUUGUUAAGUUGAAUGUGAAAUCCCCGGGCUCAACCUGGGAACUGCAUCCAAAACUGGCAAGCUAGAGUAUGGUAGAGGGUAGUGGAAUUUCCUGUGUAGCGGUGAAAUGCGUAGAUAUAGGAAGGAACACCAGUGGCGAAGGCGACUACCUGGACUGAUACUGACACUGAGGUGCGAAAGCGUGGGGAGCAAACAGGAUUAGAUACCCCGG